Long non-coding RNA from Homo sapiens (human), 3248 nucleotides. RefSeq lists it as uncharacterized. The transcript is spliced from 4 exons. The record is from RefSeq and is a predicted model, not a curated record. NCBI's taxonomy places the organism in Eukaryota, Metazoa, Chordata, Mammalia, Primates, Hominidae.
AGUGUCUGGUCCUCACUCACGCGGCUCUCUGCUGCUCAGGUCGAUUUUCUCUCCCACCCUCACCCAGGCUCUUUCCACAGCAUCACCCCUGCCCCAGCCCCUGGAGCCACCUGCUUUCCUAAGUGGUUUUGGAAACUGGGCUGAGGUCCCAAAGGGUGUCCACUGUGCUGUUGCUCUCCGCUCUGUCCAAGCAAAGCACAAGCUCAGCCGACUUUGAAAGACACCCACCGCCUGGCCUGGGAAUGCACAAGUUCAGAGCUUUGCAAGAAGUGAUCAUGGGCUAUGGCUUUGUGAAAAUGUCACCCUCACCAGUGCCUUUUUCGCGGACGUGGACGUGGAGGAAUGAGGGAGGGUAAUCACUGGGCUACCAAGGUACUGCUAAGAGCAGAAGAGAAAAUCCCAGUUUUCAGCCAUGUGUCUGGUUUGACAUUUCACCAACCCAUUUAAGUGUGCAGGCCCCCAAAUAUCUACCUAAAGAUUAUGAUAGUUUAGGCAUUUUACACUUGAAAUUAUUGACCUCAUAUCCACUGAAGCCUGACUGGCCAGUGUCUCAAAGACACAGAUGAUGACCUGAUCCCUCAGGAACAGCUGGUGCUCCAGCUUUGUGGAGGUGAAUUUCAAGGUAUGGAUUACUUGGGGGGUCGUUGAAACCUGUCAGGCUCAGGAACAGAUGGUGCUCCAGCUUUGUGGAGAUGAAUUUCAAGGAAUAAAUCCAACUUGAUCAUAACAUCCAACUGUGUUGCCCAGGCUAGUCUCAAACUCCUGGAUUCAAGAGCCCCUCUCCUCUCAGCCUACGAAAGUGCUGGGAUUAAAGUCCUGAACUGACAGCCACAAGUGGCACCUGAACAGGGACUUGAACAAAGAAGGUCUGCUGGAGCAGAAAAAGUGAAACUGACCAGAUGAAUGAGAAACCCUGGGAUGAGUCUGCCUGCAGAGGAUAUAAGGAGAUGGAUAAACCGUGUGAGUGCCCUCAAGUUGUGUGCGACCAUGGAAUGGGAGACUGGAGGGAUACAUGGAUCCCAACUACAGGCCCAGCUCCUCCAGUAUGAGCCAUGAGCCAGUUGAAUCUGAAUGUGAAGAUGGAAUGAAGACCGACGAGAGUCACACUGACGUCAACCCUCAUAACAUGGGGUCAGAUCAAGAAAACCACACCAGAAGCUGAGAAACUGGUGUAGUGCCAGGGUCAGGCAAAAACCCCUGACUCCAUGUUUAUGGCCAUGCUAGCUGUAAUAUCCUGUGCAGUAUGAUUUUUCUGUGCAGAAGCAAAAACAUAUUGGGCAUAUUUUCCUAACCCACCGGUAGUGUGAUCAUACUCUGAAGCAGCACUCCUCCUGAGAUAUAUCAUGAUCAAGGAGCAUCAGUACCAGGACCUCUAACUCCCCCUGACACAGAGCAAUUAGACUCUCAUAACAAUGGUAUCAAUUAUACCACUCCAUUGGAGGGACUUCCUUUAUGUGUCACCCAGGAUACAUUGCUCAACUGCAGUUGCCUUGCAGUUUGAUCCCAAGCAUGGUUGAGUUACCAUUAAAAAAUUAUGUACCUAUUAGACCUUAGCUUUAUUAAUAUUACUUGUGUAGUUACUAAUCACUCCUGGCCCCAUCACCCAAAUUGUACUGAUUAUACAGAAUGGGCUCCCUUUGAUAAUUCUCACCCCCCUCCUUGGGCCCACUGUCUUGGCCCCUUAGCUAGACAAUAGUCCAUGUUAAUGGGAGACAUUAUUGACUGGGGUCCCUGUGGUCAUUAAGAUGGGAGAGAUGAGAAUCAGACCACAUGGCAUAAACUUCACUGGCACUGGUGGCGAAACUUUAACAUCUCUUCACUUCAACACACUGGGAUUCAAUCCCAAUCUGCCAUGCAACUUGCUUGGCAUGGAACGGGCUUUAGCCCACCUUUGCCUCAAUGGCAUUAUCAAGGAAAGAGAGGUCCAAUUCAGGAGUCUAUGUGGAAGGCAGCACUCCCAUAUAUGAAUGGCAGCAUUUGGGUUGGGACACUAUCCAAUAAUAGUAAUAGUGCUCAAUACAGUUUAAUGUUACCUUUGUAAAAAAUGUUUGAAAUUUGUGUUUUUAAUCCCUAUGUUUUUCUAGCAGCAAAAAAGGACCAACUCCAGGUAAACAAUGCCCAAUUGAAUUGUGAUUCCUGUCAACUCUAUCAUUGCCUUAAUCAUAGCACAAUACAAACACACAGCAUAUCCACCCUAAUAAUUCUAGGUCGCAUUCCUGGAUUAUGGAUUCCUGUAAAUCUAUCUGAGCCUUGGGCAGCCACCCCCACUUUACAUUUUGUAAAACUUCUUACUCAGCUUACUCAUGGCACUCGUAGAGCCUUAGGCAUGAUAAUUUUUACUAUAGUCUCCUUAAUUACAUUAAUACCCUCUGUUGUGGUGUCCUCAGUAGCACUGGACAGCUCCACUCAAACAGCUCAAUAUGCAGAAAAUUGGAUGCAUACAGCUGACCAGGCAUGGAUGUUUCAAAAUAAAACUAACACUGAGAUACAAACAGAAGUGGCAAUGUUAAAGACUACUGUUCUGUGGCUAGAAGAACAAGUACAAAGCUUGCAGUUGCAGUAGCAAUUGCGUUGUCAUUUUAACCAUACUCAUAUUUGUGUAACCAAUUAGGAAUAUAAUCAAAGUGAAUAUCCAUGGAACCUUGUAAAGGCCCAUUUACAGGGAGCUGUUACAUCCAAUGUUACUUUUGAUAUUAAUGAUUUACAAAGUAAAAUUCUAACAGCACCUCAAUAUCUUUUUCAUAAUUAUUGGAAUAAUGUUACUAUGUUUCUGUUUUUUGUUCAUAGUCUGUAAAAUCAACUGGAACACCAACCAGCAAUUGAGAGCUGAACAGCCUGCAAUUACCUUUAUUCAAUUAAAUCAAAAGCAGAAAGGGGGAGAUGUUGGAGGCUGAAAGAAUGAGGGUCAUGACCAACUCAGUAUACCACUGGAGGCUAUGUGAGCAAACAGCAAACUGUUCUCAUGAAUACAGGAUAUUGGCAAGCUGACAGCUGCAUCUGCCACCAGAAGGAAUGCUGAGGACAGUCAUGCAUCAGGCACAGUGUUCCUUGUAGUUAUCUAUAGGAACAUCUGGACCCUGUUGUAUAAAGAAAGCAAUUAUUUGAGCCUGUGAUAAAUCAAGCAGCUGACUAAAACUGUUACCUCUUCCUCCCUGUUGAUUCUACCUAAUACAUGUGAAGGGCUGUAUAAGCUCAGGGCCCUUGUUCCCUAGAAGCAAGGAGCCCCCUGACCCCUUCUUUACAACAAA